AUGUGUGGUGGACAUCACUCCUGCUUACAUUCUGUCGGCAAGAGUAGCUGUCUGGCCACUCUGGGUGCAAGGGAAAGAAGAGGGAAAUGUUUCUUUGCCACCAGGUUGAAAUCAUUUCAAGGUUGCCCCAUAAGAGACACAGGGAAAGAUGGCAUCUGGCAGAGACUGGGAAUAUCCAAGAAGGGAGCCCGACACUCAUGUGGCCAGACAGGGACGCAGCAGCAUCAAGCAGAAGUGGCAGGGCGGUGCCAGGGCAACCCCAGAAACAAAGUUCCAUUGCUAUCACGAAGGCUGUUUUUUCCUCCUCUACUAUGUUUUCUGAUUGUUACUAAAGGAACACAAUGA
Molecule: long non-coding RNA, 345 nt
Filed under: Capra hircus (goat)
Lineage: Eukaryota; Metazoa; Chordata; Mammalia; Artiodactyla; Bovidae
Description: lncRNA (ENSCHIG00010010046.1)
Source: RNAcentral